UCAGCUUGGUCUGUGGGGAGAGGGUCACACGGGGGAUUGUGUGCUGUCCACACCCCAGGUACAGGCAGGGGAGCUCUGUCUGCCCACGCUGAGCCAGAGCCGCUCAAUGCUGUGGGCAGGGCCGGGGCGCUGCUGUCGAGAACACACAGCAGCUCUGCAGCGAGGAGGGUCAGCCCGGGUCUCACCUGAGAGCGGCAGGUCAAAGCGUUGAAGAGAUCGAAAAACACAAAACAAGUGAACGUCAUCGUCGUGGUGCGGGGAGUGCUUGCUCUGUCUUCAGGCAUCUGGAAGGUGAGCACAAAGAUGUGAGCUGUGGCAGGAGGGCAGGGACUGCAGUCCCCAGCGUCUGCACUGCACCAGGCCUUGGAGAACAGGCUGGGGUGGCCCUCACUCACCUCCUUCCAGAAGAUAAACAGGGUCCCACUGAUGAUGAUGGCCGCGGACAUGAGGAUCUUCAGGAUGAGGGCUCUGCUGAGGAUGGUGUCCCGCACACUCCGUGGUGGCUGCCUGAAGGCGUCUUUGUCAACGGGCUCUACCCCCAAGCUGCUCCAAACAAGACACAGACACUUUGAAAUGAACCAGGAAUGAAAUAAAGGACCCUUGAAACAGCUGUGCCUGAGCCUCCCAGGCCAAGUUGGCACAGGGGGCAAGGCCAGGCAUUUGCUGAACGCCCCCAGGCAUCGCACCUGCCCUCCUCGGCACCUUCCAGAAGCCCCAGAGCCUGGGUCCAUGGGCAGCUGUGCCCCUGCAUCUGUCCCGCAGACAGUGAAGGAAGACCACCCAGUAAGGCCAACCACACACAGUUCCAUACACCCAGAUGAUCUCCAUCACCCCGAGGGGACCCCCCCCCAACGUUGCACCUGGAGAAACAGGCUCCAGGCUCCGCCCUCCGCAGAGCCCCUCAUCGGCUGAGAGAGACCAGCCUCCAGCCAACUCCACACAGCAGGGUUGAGGCUAGACCAGCAGCGGGCGGUACUGUGGGAGUGGCCGGGUGAGGCCCUGCCGCUCAGACAGAGCUGAGGCCAGCUUCCUGGUCCCACUUCUGCUCCCAGGGAGAGCUGGCAGGAGAGGUAACCCUCACACUUGGCUUUGGGGACACAAAUGAGGACUCUCUUUCUUUCCCUUGGCAGCUGUCACUGGUGAUAACAGCAGCACUGAGCUCCAGCAGAAGCAUUGGCUCUGUGCUCAUACGGUUAUGCACACAUGGCCAGAUGGGUCCCCUGACUCCAAAGCGCAUUCCUUCCCCCAUACCACUUGGCCAGCUUGUUGUGGUGAAGGGGAUAUUAAGUCGCAGAGCGGGUGGACUCCUGAGCACCUACUGAGUGGGAAAAAUACAGCAGGGUGAGGGGAUUGAGUGGGAGUGCAAUCAGGGAAGACUUCCUGAAGGCAGUGACUGGUGACUGGAAUGAAGCAUGAGAAUGAGCCAUGCAGGUUGCCCAGAGAGAGCAUCCAGGCAGAGGGAGCAGAAAGUUCCAUCCUCGCCCAGCUCUGCCGGCCCAGGUACUUUCUCCUCUGCCUUCUACUCCCAGUCUCACUCCAGUGCAACACAUUUCAGUUUUCUGGGAACUCCUGAUGGAAAGUGGCUGUAUUUGUUCAUCCCUAUAGCCUUGGGGCACAGCCAGCAGCCCCUGGAGGAAGCCCCGCAGGUGGGUAAAGAGCCACAGGGCUCCCAGCCGGCCCGGCCUCACCUCUGCGCUGGUGGCCCAUCCAUGAUGAUGUUGAUCCAUAGGAUCUGCAUGGCGUUGAGGGGGCUGGGCAGGUUGAACACGGUGGACAGAGUGAUGAGACUCAGGGCAGAGAUGCUCCUGCGGGGCACACGCAGCCAGUCAGUGGCCGCCUGCCAGUCGUGGUGCUUAAUGACACUCGGAAUGCCGGCCUCUACUUACGUGCUCAGCUGGAAUCGGACAAAGUUUUUGAUGUUGUAAAAAAUCCCCUUGCCUUCCUCCACUGCAUUCCUACAAGAGAAGAGAGCCAUUUACUCACGGAGCGGGCCUGCGGGAGGGCUCGACCAGUGCAUCGGUUGCUGCAAGGGGCAGUGUUGACUCGCCCAGAUUGAUGUUAUACUUGGGCCCCUGCUGGUUCCCCUUGCUGGCAUUCUUGGGGACACAUUUGUAGGAGACGGUGGUGUUCUAACAGGUGCCCCUUGGCCACUGGGAAGUGAUCCUCGAGCCAUGUUCGCCCUUCUGUGCCAAGGGUACACCUGAUGCCUCCAAUUAGACCAUGAAUUACUCUCUGGCCGAGCCCAGGGGGCCCCAUCCCUGCCCAGACUCCCGAAGCGCGCCGUGCAUCUCCGCGAUUUACCAAAGAGGAGAGAGAGACACAGCAAAACCAGUUCGGCCUAAAAAUGAGGUCCGGAGGACGGUAAGGAGGGAGGGAUGGGGAGGCUGAAGGACAUCGCCUGCUUCUGUCUUUAGAAGGCUCUUCGCGGAAGCCCUUUUAAACCUUGACCUGGGGUCACUAAUGUAGAAAAACAAUCUAUGCACCGCGGGUGCCCCCACCGCCAGAUUUUACUAAAAUAUUUUGCAAAAGAACUAUA
Molecule: long non-coding RNA, 2536 nt
Organism: Pan troglodytes (chimpanzee)
Lineage: Eukaryota; Metazoa; Chordata; Mammalia; Primates; Hominidae
Exons: 3
Source: RefSeq, a predicted model, not a curated record